GCUAGCCAAAUCGUAUGUUGAGAAGUAUGAAGGACGGCUGUCUCGUAGCCAUGGUUACCAAGAGGCUGGAGCCAAAUUUUGGAGAAUGUUUAAACGCGAAGCAACGAAUUUUUUCGCCCUCUUUAUUCCAUGGGAAAUGCGGAUAAAAAGGACAGAGAGUCACUUCGGAUCCGUUGUGGCGUCUUACUUCAUAUUCAUGCGCUGGAUAUUUGGCGUCAACCUCAUUCUAUC
Long non-coding RNA from Lingula anatina, 231 nucleotides. The record is from RefSeq and is a predicted model, not a curated record. NCBI's taxonomy places the organism in Eukaryota, Metazoa, Brachiopoda, Lingulata, Lingulida, Lingulidae.